AUGGAAUUGAAAUAAGAAAAGAAAGAGAGAAAAAGGGUAAAAAUUUACAGUUUGGGAAAAUGCAAGGGAGAAACUUGGGAUGAUGAUCAUCAUCAUCGACCGCAGCAGCAGUUUGUUUCCAGCCAACAUCACAUUCACAGGUAUAAUAAGGGAGUGUUCCAUUUGAAGAAGGCUUGCAUUUUCCUUUUCCACAUUCCACUUCUUUACAUACAUCAUCUGCA
Long non-coding RNA from Hibiscus syriacus, 221 nucleotides. RefSeq lists it as uncharacterized. The record is from RefSeq and is a predicted model, not a curated record. The transcript has 3 exons. NCBI's taxonomy places the organism in Eukaryota, Viridiplantae, Streptophyta, Magnoliopsida, Malvales, Malvaceae.